Molecule: non-coding RNA, 117 nt
Filed under: Chloroherpeton thalassium
Lineage: Bacteria; Pseudomonadati; Chlorobiota; Chlorobiia; Chlorobiales; Chloroherpetonaceae
Also listed under: 1 other name
Description: SAM-I sequence
Rfam family: SAM riboswitch aptamer (S box leader)
About the family: The SAM riboswitch is found upstream of a number of genes which code for proteins involved in methionine or cysteine biosynthesis in Gram-positive bacteria.
Source: RNAcentral
CUGUCAUCAAGAAAGGUGGAGGGAAAGGCCCUGCGAAACCUUGGCAACCGCUCAAAUAAAAAUGUGAGUUGGUGCUAAUUCCUACCCGGUGUAAACUACCAGCGGGAUAGAUGACGG